This 73-nucleotide ribosomal RNA is filed under the name Faecalibaculum rodentium. RNAcentral's name for it is "partial 23S ribosomal RNA". The record is from RNAcentral. Lineage: Bacteria; Bacillati; Bacillota; Erysipelotrichia; Erysipelotrichales; Erysipelotrichaceae.
GUGGAUAGACCAGGGAUGGAAGUGCAGAGAUGCAUGGAGUUGACUGGCACUAAUCGGUCGAGGACUUGAUCUA